Molecule: small nucleolar RNA, 70 nt
Filed under: Caenorhabditis briggsae
Lineage: Eukaryota; Metazoa; Nematoda; Chromadorea; Rhabditida; Rhabditidae
Also listed under: 1 other name
Description: snoRNA CBG29597
Rfam family: Caenorhabditis snoRNA ceN108
Source: Rfam by way of RNAcentral
GUGCGAUGAAUGUAUUGGAUAAGUUUCGGCUGAUUCAUAAUUGAUGUCAACUUUAUAACUUGCUGAGCAC